Molecule: long non-coding RNA, 206 nt
Filed under: Sorghum bicolor (sorghum)
Lineage: Eukaryota; Viridiplantae; Streptophyta; Magnoliopsida; Poales; Poaceae
Description: long non-coding RNA (SBIC_LNC000682)
Source: RNAcentral
AAGCUACAUCGGUAUCCGUGCGCUUGCGGAUUUUUCUGUUUGCGUUUAAAAUACCCAACAAGCUUUCUGAGCUUGUCGACGGUCCUUAAUGCUCACAUUUAACCAUCAAUUAAUCAUGGAAAAGGAUCCAAAUGCAACCAACACCCAGACUUAGGAUUUUAUCUGACAGAAUUCCACGAGUUUUGGUGUUUGUCUAUUUCUGCAGG